Ipomoea triloba (trilobed morning glory) is the source of this 1535-nucleotide long non-coding RNA. RefSeq lists it as uncharacterized. The record is from RefSeq and is a predicted model, not a curated record. The transcript has 9 exons. Lineage: Eukaryota; Viridiplantae; Streptophyta; Magnoliopsida; Solanales; Convolvulaceae.
GGGUGAUUAAUGAAGGUCAUGAUGACCAUAGUGUGGGUGGUGGUAUUGGCCGGGAUGCGAAUAUUGAUAACAUUUCAGGAUCUCAACAUGGUGGUUGCUCAGGUGUUAAUGACGAACAACAAGUUCAUGAUGGGGGUGUGGAUGGUCGUUUGGAUAUGGUCUACGCGCAAAUGAGGGGGUUCAAUUAAAUGUUGGGGCCCUGACCGAAGAACGUUUGGUGGACGUUGUUCUUGUAGUUGCUGGAGUGUGGGGAGUGGUUUGUGGGCCCUUCAUGGUAGGGUGUUGGUUUUAGUGACAUUGUAGAUGGUCGGUCGUUCGUUACACCAACGGAGAUUGUUCCUCGUGUGGGUUCCACAUUUGUUUGUCUUGCUCCACGCAAGGCAAAUAGACCAGCUCGUACUGUUUUGGGGUCAGUUCGUCGUAGUGGUGUCCACUCUAUUGCUUCCGUGCCUUCACUCAAUUUAUUGGAUGAUGUCAACUUUUUCAAGUGGGAGCUCAAGUAUGGGAGUGAUGAUUUGCAUGAGUUUUUAUUCUCUUACAGUGGUCAGACUGUUAGUCGUGAUGAUAUAUGUUCUUUGGCACCUGGGACGGAGGUUUCUGUGGUGUGAUUAUUGCUGGGUCCUGUAUAUUAACUUGUAGAGAACAUACCAAGGAUCCAUCAAAACCAACUAGGGUGUUUGCCUCUCCGUCCACUACAUAUGGUUAUUUGAACACUACUGUGUUGUUCAAAAAAAUAGACAAGCUGAAGUUGGCUAGGUUUUCGGAGGCUUUGGGGGCUGAUUUUGCACUUGGUCCUUAUAAAACAUGGGGUCAUGUUCAUCUUCUUUUCUUUCCCAUCCUUCAACAAAAUCAUUUCUACCUCUUGUGUGUCGACUUCAAAUUCAAGCAGUUUGAAAUUAUUGAUAAUUCAGCUUCAACUCAGCCCACUCCGGUGAAGUAUGGUGAUACCCCAUAAAAUGUGAAACUGUUGUUGUCCGAAUAUUUCACAUUUGUUGGUGAGAAGUUCAAGUCAAUUGUUUGUGACAAUUUGAAGACUAAAAGGAUGCCGAUGAAGUGGCGGGACACCAAGAACAAAGUGGACUAUGGCAUGUAUCUUAUGUGGCACAUGGAGAGUUAUAUGGGUGAAGCCGUGAAGGUGUUGCAAAAUGGGAUUAUGGGCUGACUAGUGGUGACAGAUCGCAACUUUAGAGGCUACGUUUGCGUUAUAUGAAGGAGCUUUGCACACUUGAUAUAAAUGCACACCGUACUGGCUCGUGCGUUACGCUUUCUUUCCGGACAUUAGUUUCCUUGCUAUUGUUUACUAGUCGUUUACUUUUGGGGGUCGUGCGUUACGCUUUCUUUCCAGACAUUAGUUUCCUUGCUAUUGUUUACUAGUCGUUUACUUUUGGGGGUCGUUGUUGGAUUUUCAUUACUAAUGUUUGCUCACACUUUUGUUCUGUUUUCAACUACUUCAUUUCUAGUGUAACAGAUUUUUUCGUUCACCAACAGUGUUAUAGUUUUAUUAUUAUGCACGUAUUACUUUAGUUGUCACUAUU